RNAcentral lists this ribosomal RNA (784 nucleotides) under uncultured fungus. Its description in RNAcentral is "eukaryotic LSU rRNA". The stretch from base 1 to 241 matches the Rfam family "Eukaryotic small subunit ribosomal RNA", at positions 1593 to 1831 of the family's 1831-position model. The record is from RNAcentral. Lineage: Eukaryota; Fungi.
UUGCUCUUCAACGAGGAAUCCCUAGUAAGCGCAAGUCAUCAGCUUGCGUUGAUUACGUCCCUGCCCUUUGUACACACCGCCCGUCGCUACUACCGAUUGAAUGGCUCAGUGAGGCGUCCGGACUGGCCCAGGGAGGUGGGCAACUACCACCCAGGGCCGGAAAGCUCUCCAAACUCGGUCAUUUAGAGGAAGUAAAAGUCGUAACAAGGUCUCCGUUGGUGAACCAGCGGAGGGAUCAUUACCGAGUUUUCAACUCCCAAACCCUAUGUGAACUUACCACACCGUUGCUUCGGCGCGCGGCUCGCCGUCGCCGAGGACGUUAAACUCUGUCUUGUAUAAGCAUUUCUGAGUGGCCGAAAGGCAAAAAACAAAUGAAUCAAAACUUUCAACAACGGAUCUCUUGGUUCUGGCAUCGAUGAAGAACGCAGCGAAAUGCGAUAAGUAAUGUGAAUUGCAGAAUCCAGUGAAUCAUCGAAUCUUUGAACGCACAUUGCGCCCGCCAGCAUUCUGGCGGGCAUGCCUGUUCGAGCGUCAUUACAACCCUCGAGCCCGACUUCCUUGCGGAGGACGGCUCGGCGUUGGGGGACGGCACACUCCCCCCGGCUCGCCGGGGACGCCGCCCCCGAAAUUCAGUGGCGGCCCUCGGAGGCGACCUCUGCGUAGUAACUCAACCUCGCAAAGGGAAGCUCCGAGCGGCCACGCCGUGAAACCCCAACUAUAUCAAGGUUGACCUCGAAUCAGGUAGGACUACCCGCUGAACUUAAGCAUAUCAAUAAGCGGAGGA